GGACACUGUGCGAUGGCUGUGCGGGGAGCUUCGCCAGGACCUGGAGAGGCGGCGUACGGACACGAGAACAGCCCCGACCGUUGUUGUUGUUUUUGUUGAGCUACAAGUGCUUUGCGCCCUUCGCUUGUUCGCCACCGGCAGUUACCACGACGCGAUCGCGAACAACGAGGACGUGGCGUCGAGUUAGUCCAGUGUGGGUCUCACGAUUCAUGCUGUCAUGGAAGCGAUCGUCGAGCGUCUCGGCAAUGAGUGGAUCGCACUCCCUGCCAAAAGGAAGGCUUUAUCCACAUAGAUGCAAGAUUUGAAGGCUGCGUUGAGGUGGUCGACGACACGUUCGUGUGCAUAAGUGCGCCGUAUGAAAAGGACGAUGGCAACAAGGCUGCUUACUUUUGCCGCAAGAACUUUUACGCCCUCAGCGUCAUGGUGGUAUGUGACCAACCCUGCCGAUGACUGCCCUCGCACUCGGGGCCCGUGCACGACGCCUUUAUGUGGAAGACAUCCACCGUGAGCCAGGACUGGGCAGUGGACGCCGUGGCCAGGUGAUAGUGCAUACUCGCUUCAACCUUGGCUGCUUAACCCCAUCCCUGGAGCACAUCCUGCAGAAUCCUCUGCUGCCCGAUUCCACCGCACCCACUCUUCACUGCGGUGCGUCGUAUAACUGUGCACUGGAGUCCUCAAGGCCCACUUUCGGUGCUUGCAGAGGUACAGAACACUGUACUAUGACCCACUCUUCACGUCGAAGAUCAUCGCAGUUUGUGUCGUGCUUCACAACCUCGGUGUUUGGCAGCAGCUGCCUGAACCAGACGACAUCCCUUGCACUGAAGAACUCGAAUGAGAAUAUGCGGACCUUUACAACAACAAUAGCGACGAUACGGCUGCAGUAGACAUGUA
Rhipicephalus sanguineus (brown dog tick) is the source of this 891-nucleotide long non-coding RNA. RefSeq lists it as uncharacterized. NCBI's taxonomy places the organism in Eukaryota, Metazoa, Arthropoda, Arachnida, Ixodida, Ixodidae. The transcript has 3 exons. The record is from RefSeq and is a predicted model, not a curated record.